GUCUUACCUCUGUCUGUCAGUCAGUCAGGGUUUGAGUGUUACGGUGUCAGUAAACCGCAAAGUCACGUGAGUUGUUGCCAUGGUUACAGCAUUUAAGCUCUGAUGUACUUUAUCUACACAUUAGCAUUAUUCGGAAGGUCUGCAUCAUUUGAAAUGUUGCAACAGCACUGAAAAUGGCUGCAGUGUGAAUCUUUGGGCUUCAAUAAAGUCCUAGUGGCAACAGAUAAGCAACUCUCUGACACACACAAAUACACACACACCUAGUAUAUUAGUAAUCACCAUUAUUGUUUGAAGUCUUGAAUAGCUGUGUUACCUGAUAACCUUCCAACUGAUUAAAUUAAUAUUUGACCUUUUAUAGUAUUAUAUGAUUAGUAUCUAUAUAAAAUUGAGACUGUUUGCUUUUCCAAACGGAUCAUUGCUGCCUGAUGGACAGGGUGGUGCCCUAUAAUGAAUUAAAUUAAUUAGAUAAUUAUUACCUAUUGCACUUGUUAAAUUAUAGAUAAUAAUUAAUAUUCAUCUAAUAAUAGGAAUUUGUAAAACAAAGUAAUAAACUAAAACUAAAAAUAAAUAAAAAAUAUAGUGGUAUUAUGUUAAUUAUUAUAAUUAGUGAUCCUUACUUUAACCAAUUUGGCGCACUAGGCAAGAUUUCAGGUGGCACUCUGUUGCAUUGCAGUAAAUUCUACUGCUAGUGUAUAUCCUGUUAUGGGAAAAAUUGUCUCUUCCUUAUUUCUAUGUGUCUUCCUUAUUUCUAUGCAGUUAUUAUAUGAUAUAUGACUUAUGUUCUGCAAUUAAUAUCUUUUGUUUUGUCUUACUGUAUGCAUUUGACAUUUGACCUAGAUUGUUCAAUGGUUGUCUCUGCCUGAUAGACUCUCAACUCUAGCUCCCAAACCCAAGGCCGGGGAGUUGUGUCUCUGUCUGUUGAGACUUGGUGCUCCUUUCUCACAGAUAGUCGGACGUCAGCGAUGCAUGUGUGAGAAUGUAAACAUCUUCACACACACUGCGACAGGGAGGAGAUGGUGCAUGUCAUUUGAUUGGUUUAGAAAGACGUUCCACCGUAGUCGGACAGAGAAGCUAAAAGGCAGAAGCAACUUUAGGAUCGUGGGCUCUUUGCAUCACACCUUCGUGGUGUGUGCACUGAUCUCCCCAACUGGUUUUUGGUUUGUUGAUGUGCACGAUCAACAUCCAUGCUUUUUAUUUGCUUUCCCCAUUAUUUUUAUUUUCUUUAUUAUUUCAAUAAAUCGCACAAAAGGACAACUCUCUCAUCUGCUUCUUUAUGGAAAAUUUCCACUACAGAAAUUGGCGUCUACGAACAGGAUCCGCGGCAGGUCGUCUGGACGGUGUGACCAGAGACGAUAGUCCUGAGGACUAGGGUCGCUGAGCCUCCAAACCUCUACAGACAUUCAGAGCUGGGAGGACUGCUCACCCGUCUGGAUCGCCUCUGACGGGAUCCACGAACUCAGAUUCAAACUCAAAUCUUAACUUGGCUCAGUCGAACUGAGCGCGAUGAGGGUAAAUCCGGAUCUGGACUCCUUUCCCACCAUCAGCAGAAGAACCGAAGGAGAAGAAGCGCCAACCAACAACCAGAACAGGGUGGAAGCUCUGACACCACAGCAGCUAGAGGACACAGACCACAGCAUGGACGCCUCACCGACUCACACAACGUCUACAGCCAUCACGUUCUGGGAUCAUCAGAUGAACCAGCUACUACAAGCGUGUGUGUCUGACAGACACCUGCUAAUGACAAUCAGCAAAGGAAAACAAGGACAGAGCAACAGCAGUGUGAGAAGACGUGCUCUGACACAGACACUGGUUGAAACAACAGGAGAGGCUUCAGACGUGAUCGGCCCAAAAGAGCUGCAUGCGAGGAUCCAGGAAAGGUCUGUCAUCGAGGAACAACUGUCCCAUUGAAAGGCCCUCACACAGGCUGCAUCACAGCUUGUUUAUGAUUUCACACACACACACACAAACUGACCUCAACUUCCCUCUUUUGGGAUGAACAGGUCUGCACUUGCGAUUUCUUUUACUAACGAACAAAAAGAUUUUUGAUGUUUAUUCUACAGUUCCACACGUCCCUCUGUGAAAACAUGAUGGAGACAGAUGCAGGACGUGGGUCCUUUCGUGAACAGAUGUCAACGGGGUGGAGACUGGUGAACCACUUCUGACCCCAUGUGACAUAUUCACCUACUUUGCAUACUUUUAGAAAACUUAUUUUUAUUCUGCCUGUUAUGUGCAGCAAACAGUGAACUGGGUACCUCCACAUUUUAAUGACACACACUACAUGCUUUUGUUUUUAUUUUCAUUUCAGAGGACGCUCUGACCCAACACUCAGCCUUACAGGAAGCCCUGCUUCCCUGUGGCUCACACACAGACAUGAUGAAGGUUUGAUCAGAGGAUGUGAACCAGUGGUCAUCACACCUAAAUCUGACCACAAACCAUGUAAACAACAACACCCUCCUAAAGGAAGCCAUAGAUGGUGUUACUGCAGACACCACUAAGAUACUGAAACAUUGGAUGCUACAGGCCACAAAGAGAGCCUGUCUAAAUUACAGUUAGUUCAGACAAAGGUUAUUUUCUGGGUCAUUGUAAUUACAGCUGAUGGCAAAUCCAUCUCACCCAACAGAGUUAAAGCAAUUUGAAACCUGCCUAAACCGUGCACGUAAAAACAGCUUAUGUCUUUUCUAGGUUUUUGUUCUUAUUGUAGGACCUUCGUUCGUAACUUUACUGUCUUUGAGGCCCCACUCAGGAUUCUGAUGCAGACAUCUUCAUCGUCCACCUCUUGUCUCACGUGGACGUCUGAGGCUGAACAACGUUCACUGACCUCAUGCUUGCUCUUCAGUCAACUCCUACUUUGGGUCUUCCUGAUCUGACCCUACGCGACCUUUCACUCAAACAGUGGAUGAGAGAUCAGGUUGUACGACUUCUGUUCUUUCGUCCUCAUGCUGAGUCCUUGAUUCUUUUGGAAUAGAUCACAUCUUUCUACAGCCCGAUGGCUUAGAUGCAACACCACUUUGCUCAACAUGCUGAACGUUACUAUCAAGACGUCGUCUUGAAGUCUAGUGCUUUGCUAAGACACUACUCUGCUCAGGCUGCAGAGUUGAUCCUAUUGACUGAAGCUGGUUAACUAAAAGUCUGUUACCAUCUACACAGACUCCACAGACGCUCUGUGGAAGCAUAGGAAGCUUUUGAAGUCUGAUUGCAAACCUAUCUCACAUCAUGAUUAGGUUCUGCUUUGCUGGACGCUGUCCUGCCACCUACAGCUAAUGCUGUUUUUACAUCAUCAGUGACGACUUUGUUUGUGCCGACAUGCAGCUGCAGACGCUGCUGCGAAGGUCGCUGCCCGACAAUCCCUCCCUCUCCUGAUCCUCGUUUCCUCUCCUGAUCCUUGUUCCCUCUCUCCAACUCUGUGCUUUAAACAUUUUCUACCUCGCAGGAACACAGACUCUGGCAGACGAAUGGUUCCACCUGUAGCCAUGGAGUCUGGUUUGGGCCUGAUGACAAGCCGUGCCGCCCAAACACCUUUUCCCCAUAAUUCAGAUUUCCCAACAGGUGAAAGCAGGCGACAGGACCAUCACAUCAUUCAACCAGGAGACUGGGCGAUCGUUAAGGAGUUCAGGAGGAAGCACUGGGACUCCAAACGGUGGCGAGGCCCCUUCCAGGACCUUCUGACGACCCACACGGCUGUGAAGGUCACAGAGAAAACCACCACUGACGAAAACAACUGAGAAGGACGACCCUCGCUGUGCUCACACACGCACUGAGGCGAGGCUGCGUUGACCGUUCAGCUAAAGGUGUGAGCCAAGCGCCGCCUGAAGCUGCGCCGAUGAAUCACACUAUCAGACCAUACAUCUACACACACGUUCCUGAGAAAACACACACACGAGCAGCCUUGAGUUGCCGACGCUGGAAGACGUGUAGACUCUUCACAUCACGGGAGUGACAGUGACUCAGACGACAUUGGGAGGAAACCUGGCGGUGAUAACGAAUCCCAAGUGUCUCUGUGAUCAGCUGAUCACAACCUGAAGAACCCCAACGAACAAUCAAUACUUCAACACACAGGUUGGAAACAAUCUAACGCUACUGUUCAACAGGACGAAGCAGAUCGUUACGAGACAUCAAUUGUAACCAUGCUUUGUUAGACUUCAUUUUAUGUUACUCUGAUUAUUGCCUUUAUCACAUGAUGUUUCUAUGUAACUUUACACACUACUUUUGAAUGAGAAAAUUUCACAUAAUUCACAACACUGAGUUUAAAUAUCCUAAAGUUGAUUUGGUGUUUGAUUUGCUCACAAUCACUUUAUUCACUGCUACAAAAAUCUUUAUCCUUCAUCUACAGAUGAAAGACAACACAAGCGGAAAUAUGCAUCAUCAUCAUUCUGGUUUAAUCCCUGAAUCUCGUAUUCAUUCUAGACGCAAAUGUACAAUUAAAGAUCCAAAAGCAUGAAAUCUAUCUUAAGAUUACUGUAUAUGAAACAGAACCCCAUCGGAAACCUAUGGCUAUCAUACAUUAAUUGUCUUUAUUACAUUACAAUUGAAUGGCCGUAGACACGUUGUUAGCUGAGAAAAGAGGCGUUUGUGUUAUGUUUGGAGAGGCAUGUUGUACUUACAUCCUGAAUAACACUGAUUCUAAUGGUAUUGUGGCGAAGGCGCUCCACGGCCUUCCGAAUCUCAGCUAACUCUGGUAUAGGUUCUUUCCCUUGGAAUUGGCUAGACGAAAUGUCUGGAAAAUGGAAAUCUGUUCUCAUGUCCGCAGCAACACUCUUGUAUCAAAUGACACAAUGCACUAUGUUCAAAAACCCCAACUCUAAUUCACUUAAUGACUUUGACGAUGAUCUUAGGCUAUCGGAUCAAAAAUAUAAUAUGAUACAAAUAUGAUAAUGAGCUUAUUUUCUUCACAUGCCAAUACAGAAGUUAUUCUUGUAUAACUAUCCACCAAAACAGCUCCCAACCUUUUGUCCCUAAGUUACUUGCAUUUUAUGUGAAGGUGUAUUUUGACUCUUGAUGAGUUAAUACCCUUAUUGUUUCAUUUGCAAGGGUCUUUUAUUAUUACAGAAUGUGAUGUUGACAAUUUUUAUUCCUUUAUGGUUUGAUUAAUGUGUAAUCAAAAGGGGGGAGUGUUAUGGGAAAAAUUGUCUCUUCCUUAUUUCUAUGUGUCUUCCUUAUUUCUAUGCAGUUAUUAUAUGAUUUAUGACUUAUGUUCUGCAAUUAAUAUCUUUUGUUUUGUCUUACUGUAUGCAUUUGACAUUUGACCUAGAUUGUUCAAUGGUUGUCUCUGCCUGAUAGACUCUCAACUCUAGCUCCCAAACCCAAGGCCGGGGAGUUGUGUCUCUGUCUGUUGAGACUUGGUGCUCCUUUCUCACAGAUAGUCGGACGUCAGCGAUGCAUGUGUGAGAAUGUAAACAUCUUCACACACACUGCGACAGGGAGGAGAUGGUGCAUGUCAUUUGAUUGGUUUAGAAAGAC
Molecule: long non-coding RNA, 5457 nt
Organism: Betta splendens (Siamese fighting fish)
Lineage: Eukaryota; Metazoa; Chordata; Actinopteri; Anabantiformes; Osphronemidae
Exons: 2
Source: RefSeq, a predicted model, not a curated record